Molecule: long non-coding RNA, 1401 nt
Organism: Patella vulgata (common limpet)
Lineage: Eukaryota; Metazoa; Mollusca; Gastropoda; Patellidae
Exons: 5
Source: RefSeq, a predicted model, not a curated record
UGGCUAAAAGGACCUGUCCCUCUAAAUCUACUUUAAAAGUCGGAUAAAGCGUUAACAGGUCGUCUUCUGUGUUAGUUAACUAUUAAUCCUCAACAUGGCUGGCCAGAGUUGUAUUGCGUUAUGUGUCGUUUUAGGACUUCAGCUAGCAGCUGCCCAGAUGUGGCCACCUCAAGCCUCAACCAUGUGGCCACAACAACAAAACUGGUUUGGAAAUCAAAUGAAUGAUAUUACUCAACAAGGAGCCCAAUAUGCCACCUGUAUGGUCCAAACACAAGGUAACGAUCAAUUAAGAGUUACCUUCGAAAGACCAACACCAGCUCAAAAUCAAGGCUGGAAUCAAUGGGUGAACCCUUCAGCACCAAUCCGUAUGACUGCUAAUAUCGUUUCUGGCACGAUCGCGGGGCAAUUGCAGAUGAUAAUUACAGAAUACGGGCGAACAUCUGGCGGUGUUUGUUAUCCAGAGUACAUGGGAAAUAUUAUUCGCGGUAAUGCACAAAAUGCUAUGAUGAAUCAAAACAAUUUCUGGCAAGCAUUCAUGCUACAGGGACAACAACAACAAAAUAAUGAAAGACUUGGUGGUGUUAUUGGCAGUCCCAUAUAUCUUAAUCAAGGACAAUCCGCCACUAUGUCUGAACGGGUUGACGUUAAUUUCGAAGAUCUGUUUGGUCGUGGAAUAGCGCUCUGUUCGACUUUAAAUCAAAACGUGUGCUCUAGAAUGGCACAGUUGUGUUGCACUAUCGGCCAGGAUAAAAAUGCAGCUUCUAAUUUGAACAACAUAGGCAUGAACGGCGCCAUGAAUGGUGGUAUGGUUGGUGGCGUAAACAACCCCCUGAAUGGUAAUAUGAACCAAUUUGGAAUGGCUUCUAGCAAUGGGCUUCAACAGCCCAUGAACUCUGGUCUAAACACACAACCAACGGGCGGACAACAAAGUAUUGCAUUCGGAAUUUAAGAAUCUUUUUAAAUCGAUUAAAAAAAAUGUAUGUAUCAAUGUUGUGCAAACGAUACCCGCCUUGGUCUAAAUUAACAGAGACGAUGUAUCAAUUAAGUAACUGUAUUUUCAAAUUUGUAUUGAAUUGAAAACCUAGCAUACAUGUAAUACAUGAGUUAAGUAUUUAACAUAAUAUUUUUAUUUAAUCUUUGAAAUGGUAAUAUAUAAUUAGUAGAAUUUAUAUUGUAUAAUUUUUUAUGACUAUCCACCGUGCUUAAGUUCAGUUUCCUUCCAUGGCCGUUUCAAACUUAACAAAAACUAUUUCUAAUAUCAUUUCUCUGUAUUAUUAUUGCAAUUAUGGUUAUUAAAUGUAAAAUUGUAUCUGGAAAUGGUCUACAUGUUGUUGCGUAAUUCUUUGGGUUCCGGGGGUGGGGGGAUGCGCGUUGUAUCAUAAGAUCUGUCAUUGCGUCAAC